CAGUGUCGGCUCCUCUCAAAUGGAUCAGCUUGCCAGUGUUUGGUGGCGUCACAGGUGUGAUAACUAUCUACGCUUGUGGUUUUCUGCCAUGUAACCUUCAGUGAUGGAGGUUCGCUGGAGCUCACAGAUGUCUCUCCUCGGCGAGGACAGCUCUUUGAACGUUUGAUCUCAAAUCAGGUAGGACUACCCGCUGAACUUAA
This 200-nucleotide unclassified non-coding RNA is filed under the name soil metagenome. Its description in RNAcentral is "partial contains internal transcribed spacer 2 and large subunit ribosomal RNA". The record is from RNAcentral.